AAUGGUUGACGCCGUUGAUUUUUUAUCACAUGUUUGACCGUCCAUCUUAUUCAAAAAAUUUAAGAAAUUAUUAAUUCUUUUCCUAUCAUUUGAUUCAUUGUUAAAUAUAUUUUUAUGUAGGCAUAUAAUUUUACAUAUCUCACAAAAGUUUUUGAAUAAGACGAACGGUCAAACAUGUGCUAAAAAGUCAACGGUGUUAAA
RNAcentral lists this microRNA precursor (201 nucleotides) under Oryza sativa Japonica Group (Japanese rice). RNAcentral's name for it is "MIR812 microRNA precursor family". It matches the Rfam family "MIR812 microRNA precursor family". Lineage: Eukaryota; Viridiplantae; Streptophyta; Magnoliopsida; Poales; Poaceae. The record is from Rfam by way of RNAcentral.